CCCAAAUUCACCUCUGUCCACAUCCGUUGCUAGUUGCAGACAGUGGCAAAAACAUCCGGCAAUAAACAAGUCGAUGGUAAGCACCCUGACCAUUGUGAUCCAUUCCAACACUCCGUCUCCCACCACCAUCGGCCUCAAGCUUGACCCAUCCACCACAUCACUUCCGUGGACACUUUUCAUCAUUCAUCUUCUACAAGAAGAUAAUGAGCGAGGUCCCUUUUGCUGACUAGCAUCCUGUCAAAAGGAAGAUCCAUGCGCAUCUAGCUGUUGUUUGAGC
RNAcentral lists this long non-coding RNA (277 nucleotides) under Gossypium barbadense (sea-island cotton). Its description in RNAcentral is "long non-coding RNA (GBAR_LNC003254)". Lineage: Eukaryota; Viridiplantae; Streptophyta; Magnoliopsida; Malvales; Malvaceae. The record is from RNAcentral.